GAUGAACGCUGGCGGCGUGCCUAAUACAUGCAAGUCGAGCGAACAGACGAGGAGCUUGCUCCUCUGACGUUGGCGGCGGACGGGUGAGUAACACGUGGAUAACCUACCUAUAAGACUGGGAUAACUUCGGGAAACCGGAGCUAAUACCGGAUAAUAUAUUGAACCGCAUGGUUCAAUAGUGAAAGACGGUUUUGCUGUCACUUAUAGAUGGAUCCGCGCCGCAUUAGCUAGUUGGUAAGGUAACGGCUUACCAAGGCAACGAUGCGUAGCCGACCUGAGAGGGUGAUCGGCCACACUGGAACUGAGACACGGUCCAGACUCCUACGGGAGGCAGCAGUAGGGAAUCUUCCGCAAUGGGCGAAAGCUUGACGGAGCAACGCCGCGUGAGUGAUGAAGGUCUUCGGAUCGUAAAACUCUGUUAUUAGGGAAGAACAAAUGUGUAAGUAACUAUGCACGUCUUGACGGUACCUAAUCAGAAAGCCACGGCUAACUACGU
This 496-nucleotide ribosomal RNA is filed under the name uncultured bacterium. RNAcentral's name for it is "partial 16S ribosomal RNA". It matches the Rfam family "Bacterial small subunit ribosomal RNA", at positions 28 to 506 of the family's 1533-position model. The record is from RNAcentral.